GAGAGAUAGAUAGGUACAGAGAGAUAGAUAGGUACAGAGAGAUAGAUAGGUACAGAGAGAUAGAUAGGUACAGAGAGAUAGAUAGGUACAGAGAGAUAGAUAGGUACAGAGAGAUAGAGAUAGGUACAGAGAGAGAGAGAUAGGUACAGAGAGAGAGAGAUAGGUACAGAGAGAUAGAUAGGUACAGAGAGAGAGAGAUAGGUACAGAGAGAGGGAGUAAGAGAGAGACUGCAGUGCUAGUCUGAUGGUGCAUGAGAAGCCCCUGACCUCUGUUCCUCACUGUCAUACUGUUAAAUGAGGGAAAAGUCAAUGGUGUGACCGCUCCCUUCACCACCAGCCUAGAAGCUAGAUUUAUUUUCUCUGAACUCUAUCCGCCCUCUCCCCUCUAUCCCUCCUUCUGUCUCCCUCGCUCACACUUCUCUCCAUCUGCUCCCUCUCACCUCUCUCACGACACGCCAUCCUCCCUUCCUCCCUCAGUUCUGACACUCUCUCGCUCGCUCUGUGUUUCUCUCUCUGUCUCCUCAUCUCUCUCUCUCUCUCUCUGUCUCCCUCUCUCUCUGUCUCUCUCUCUCUCUCUCUCUCUCUCGUCUCUCUCUCUCUGCGUCUCUCUCUCUCUCUCUGUCUCCCUCUCU
Oncorhynchus keta (chum salmon) is the source of this 632-nucleotide long non-coding RNA. RefSeq lists it as uncharacterized. The transcript has 4 exons. NCBI's taxonomy places the organism in Eukaryota, Metazoa, Chordata, Actinopteri, Salmoniformes, Salmonidae. The record is from RefSeq and is a predicted model, not a curated record.